UAGGGAAUCUUCCGCAAUGGACGCAAGUCUGACGGAGCAACGCCGCGUGAGUGAAGAAGGAUUUCGGUUCGUAAAACUCUGUUGUUAGAGAAGAACAGCGCAUAGAGUAACUGUUAUGCGUGUGACGGUAUCUAACCAGAAAGCCACGGCUAACUACGUGCCAGCAGCCGCGGUAAUACGUAGGUGGCAAGCGUUGUCCGGAUUUAUUGGGCGUAAAGCGAGCGCAGGCGGUCAAUUAAGUCUGAUGUGAAAGCCCCCGGCUCAACCGGGGAGGGUCAUUGGAAACUGGUUGACUUGAGUGCAGAAGAGGAGAGUGGAAGUCCAUGUGUAGCGGUGAAAUGCGUAGAUAUAUGGAGGAACACCAGUGGCGAAGGCAACUCUCUGGUCUGUAACUGACGCAGAGGCUCGAAAGCGUGGGUAGCAAACAGG
Molecule: ribosomal RNA, 429 nt
Filed under: Bacteroidota bacterium
Lineage: Bacteria; Pseudomonadati; Bacteroidota
Description: Bacteroidetes bacterium partial 16S ribosomal RNA
Rfam family: Bacterial small subunit ribosomal RNA
Source: RNAcentral